UAUUUUUAGUAGAGACGGGGUUUCACCAUGUUAGCCAGGAUGGUCUUGAUCUCCUGACCUCAUUAUCUGCCUGACUCAGCCUCCCAAAGUGCUGGGAUUACAGGCGUGAGCCACCACACCUGGCCCUAGGUUCAAAUCUUGUUAUCUUUCAUUAUUUUUCAGCUCACUUUGCAAAUACCCAUUAAACACCUGCCAUAUACCAAGUUGUUUUUCAACACCUAAAGGAAGGUAGAACUUGACGUGAGAGCCCUCUAGAAUUCUUAUUGUUUAGGCCUCUUUCUUUGUCUCAGGGCGUCCAGGGUGGUCGAGCCAAACGCUAUUCAUCCCAGCGGCAAAGACCUGUGCCAGAGCCCCCCGCCCCUCCAGUGCAUAUCAGUAUCAUGGAGGGACAUUACUAUGAUCCACGUUUACAUCCCCACCAGACACCAGCUCCUCUGCCCAAUCCAGGCCUCUAUCCCCCACCAGUGUCCAUGUCUCCAGGACAGCCACCACCUCAGCAGUUGCUUGCUCCUACUUACUUUUCUGCUCCAGGCGUCAUGAACUUUGGUAAUCCCAGUUACCCUUAUGCUCCAGGGGCACUGCCUCCCCCACCGCCGCCUCAUCUGUAUCCUAAUACACAGGCCCCAUCACAGGUAUAUGGAGGAGUGACCUACUAUAACCCCGCCCAGCAGCAGGUGCAACCAAAGCCCUCCCCACCACGGAGGACUCCCCAGCCAGUCACCAUCAAGCCCCCUCCACCUGAGGUUGUAAGCAGGGGUUCCAGUUAAUAUGAGUUUCUGAAUAUUUUAAAUCUUAACAUCAUAUAAAA
RNAcentral lists this long non-coding RNA (808 nucleotides) under Macaca nemestrina (pig-tailed macaque). Its description in RNAcentral is "lncRNA (ENSMNEG00000045744.1)". The record is from RNAcentral. Lineage: Eukaryota; Metazoa; Chordata; Mammalia; Primates; Cercopithecidae.